UUUGUUUUUUAAUUAAAAACUAGAAUGAAAGAUUUUACAUUUUAAUUUCUUUAUUAAAUAUCAUAUAUAAAUUUAUAUUAAAUAUAAAAAUAUAUUUAUAAUAUAAAAAGACGACAAGACCCUAUUAAAUUUUACUUAUUGUUUAGCUGGGGCAGCUUUUUAAAUAAAAUUUUAAAAUUAUUUAUAUAUUAAUAAAAAUCUAAUAUAAUUAAAUUAAUCUAAUUACUAUAGGGAUAACAGCGUUAUAUUUUUUUCAAGUUCAUAUUAAAAAAAAUCAUUGCGACCUCGAUGUUGAAUUAUAUUUCUUUAUUAAUGCAACAAUUAUAAA
RNAcentral lists this ribosomal RNA (328 nucleotides) under Anelosimus may. RNAcentral's name for it is "partial 16S ribosomal RNA". Lineage: Eukaryota; Metazoa; Arthropoda; Arachnida; Araneae; Theridiidae. The record is from RNAcentral.